UACGUAGGGUGCGAGCGUUGUCCGGAAUUAUUGGGCGUAAAGGGCUCGUAGGCGGUUUGUCGCGUCGGGAGUGAAAACCUACAGCUUAACUGUGGGCUUGCUUUCGAUACGGGCAGGCUAGAGUUCGGUAGGGGAGACUGGAAUUCCUGGUGUAGCGGUGAAAUGCGCAGAUAUCAGGAGGAACACCGGUGGCGAAGGCGCUGCUCUGGGCCGAAACUGACGCUGAGGAGCGAAAGCGUGGGUAGCAAACAGG
Molecule: ribosomal RNA, 253 nt
Filed under: uncultured bacterium
Lineage: Bacteria
Description: partial 16S ribosomal RNA
Rfam family: Bacterial small subunit ribosomal RNA
Source: RNAcentral